RNAcentral lists this ribosomal RNA (462 nucleotides) under Veillonella parvula. Its description in RNAcentral is "bacterial SSU rRNA". It matches the Rfam family "Bacterial small subunit ribosomal RNA", at positions 28 to 462 of the family's 1533-position model. The record is from RNAcentral. Lineage: Bacteria; Bacillati; Bacillota; Negativicutes; Veillonellales; Veillonellaceae.
GACGAACGCUGGCGGCGUGCUUAACACAUGCAAGUCGAACGAAGAGCGAUGGAAGCUUGCUUCUAUCAAUCUUAGUGGCGAACGGGUGAGUAACGCGUAAUCAACCUGCCCUUCAGAGGGGGACAACAGUUGGAAACGACUGCUAAUACCGCAUACGAUCUAAUCUUGGCAUCGAGGAUAGAUGAAAGGUGGCCUCUACAUGUAAGCUAUCACUGAAGGAGGGGAUUGCGUCUGAUUAGCUAGUUGGAGGGGUAACGGCCCACCAAGGCGAUGAUCAGUAGCCGGUCUGAGAGGAUGAACGGCCACAUUGGGACUGAGACACGGCCCAGACUCCUACGGGAGGCAGCAGUGGGGAAUCUUCCGCAAUGGACGAAAGUCUGACGGAGCAACGCCGCGUGAGUGAUGACGGCCCUUUCGGGGUUGUAAAAGCUCUGUUAAAUCGGGACGAAAAGGCCCUUCCUG